GGAUGUGUCACAUGAUCACACUUCUGCUCGAACAAGAAUUUUUAAAUGGCUGUGACAAUUACUGAUUUACGUAUUACUGACGACCACACUUCAAGAACUGCUGCUGAAGUGUUGUCGAACCUGCAGCUUGAUCAAGGUUCACCAGACGCUAAACAGAAAUGCGAUAUGCUAUUUAGAGACCUUGAUUUUCCAAGUGAACAUCAAAACGAAGAGGACUACAGUCAGUUUGUUUUUAAUGGCCAGUGUUUGAUACUGGGUGACUCCUGGGCUGGAAAAACGAGCUUAGUGAACUCUCUCACUAAAAAGCCGUUUGACAGUGAAGAGUCAAGUACGCUGGGAGUCCACAGAAACUCGGUAGACCGGGAGUGGCAAAAGACAAGCCUCGAAUUCGGAGAUUUUGCUCGAUUCGGAAAAGCUGUUCGUUCCGUAAGAGCUCUAAUUUCAUCAGAAGGAUACGUAGCUUUUGAAAACGUAACAUCAAAACUAUCUUCUUUUUUUAUUUGGUCGCUGUAUUUGUUUUUUUCAGUGCUAGUAUGGGAGUUAACGAAUCCAUUUAUUCUUUUAAUAGUGCUACAAAUUACUCUUUUACUUGGCAUUCUGCCUCCAUGCCCUCUUCAUUUCGCAAUAGGUCUCCUGUUUGCUCAUUUAGCGGGCGGUGUUUUUAAAGGUAUGAACUGUUGCUGUACAGGGUUACCGUGCAUUGGACGUAAACAUUUAGAUUUGCUUUAUUACAAAUUUAUGGUAACUAUGUUACGCCUUUUUUACCUUAGUUCCCUCACUGGCAAAUGUAUUGAUUACUUCUUAGUACCCCUAGAGAAGAAGUGGUUACGUUGGCGUAUUCAGAGGCGUCGGGGUGAUAUUAUUUUUAAAAGUUCUCUUCCGGGACAAGUGAAAGUCUACAAUUACAGACAAGUUUUCUCUCCGGAAUUAAACUUUUAUGCGAUAGGAUCUUUGAUUAACGGAAUUGGUCUAGGUCUCAGUGCUGAAUUGUUGAUCGAUAUGUCUAUUCUCGGUUAUUGUGAAAUUCUUCAUUACUGUGCACUACUAUGCUGUGUUUUGGUCUAUCAGUUCUUUGGUUCAUUCGUUCAUUGUGUAAGGGAAGUCAUUUCAUGGAGGGAAUUGUAAGCCCUAUUUUAUCUAUUUGUAUAUUCGAAAAUACGCAGUAUAAUUGGAGAUCAUCUUUUCCAAUGUUUUUGUAUGUAGCAAUGCUUGCAGGAUGUGCCUGUUGUGCAAGAAUCUUCCAUACAAAUUCUGAAUCAAACUUUGUUACUCGUAGCUACAAUGAUGUCUUGGUACAAAAGGUAACACUGAAUUACCAAGAAUUAAGACAGGCUUUCAAUGCCAAGUUUUCAAGUCUCACAUUGAGCAUUCUAGACUUUGGAGGGGAUUAUAAAGAACAUUUUGCAUACCAUCAUCUCUUCUACAGAAGUCAAGCAAUGUAUGUUGUUGUCUUUGACUUGACACAUUUUACUGCUGGCAAUUUCCAAAAUAUAAAAGCAAACCUCCAAAGAAUUUGUUUCUGGUUGGAAUCCAUCCGUGGUAAAGUAGCGACAAAGACACCAAUGUUUCUUGUUGGGACACACAGAGGAAACAUGAGUAAGGCCUGCCUUGGUGAUUUGAAUAAACAUCUGCAACAGAGCCUUUGGAAAACCUUUUCUGAUGAUCUGAUGAUGAAUGAAGAAGAUAAGUUGAUGUAUUUUCCUGUUGAAAACAAAUAUGGAAUUCAUGAUCAAGGAAUUAAAAAUCUUCAAAGGAAACUGAUCCACAUAGCUGAGGAAUACCAAACAACUUUGGGAUGCACAGUUCCAUUUUCAUGGAUUAAAAUUCAAGAUGCAAUCAUUAAUUUGUGGGAGGAUCACAAAGCAAAGUUCUGUGUAUCCCUGGAGCAUUUUCCAAAUUCAUUUAGUCACUUUAUUUGCAGCAACUGGUCCAAGGAAACUUUGAAGUAUUUUCAUUAAAAAGGCAUUGUGAUUUACAUUGACAAAGGUGAGAAUUCAGUGAUUUCUAAGUGGGUUCUUCUGAAGCCAUCACUUCUAGUUGACAUCACAAUUCAGCUGAUCACUCCAAGGACAGAUGAUGAAUUAUUUUCACAACAUGGAUUCAGGCGUGAUUGGACAUUGCUACACAACAAAGGAAUGCUUACAAAUUCCCUCUUGAGGCACAUUCUUGCUAGAAUCCAAGAAAAUGAAGUAGCAAUGACAGGCUUUCUUGAGGAGUAUGGCAUUAUUUGUCCUUUAUUUUACAUGGUUGACAAUGACAUGACCGAGGCAACAGUAACACAUUUUGUUCCUGCACUGCUUCCAGUUUCAGUGGAAGGGAACAAAUCAGUUUGGAUUGAUCAUCCCACAGACAAGAGGCUGUAUGUGUUCUUUGAGAGAUUUCUGCCAGAGUCUCUUUUCCACCGUCUUUUAUCACGUGCUCACCAACUUAACAAGGAAUCCAUCUUCAAGGGCCAGCCUUUAAUAAGCAGGAAUAUUGGCAGGUUUUGGCUGACACCCACUCAGUCCUACAGGCUGCUGUAUCUUAAGGAGGAGGAUAUAAUCGAAGUGACAUUUAGCUUCAGAUGUGACGCAGAAAAUUUGCAUCCUUCAAUUGUGUUGAGUCAAGUGUUUGGCAUGGUCAAAUGGCUCUGUUGGGGGCACUUUCCACAUGUCAAGUUUCACUGUGGUCCUGCCUGUCCAUCAGAGAAUUGUCCUGGACAUCAAAGAGACCAUAUAUCACAUCCAGGUGUUCAAAAGUCAAUCUCAAGACGCCAUGUUAUUCAUGUGUUACCAAAGAAAGAAUCUUCAUUUUACUGCGCCAACCAAAAUUUUGAAGACGAUCUAAAGGAGUGGCAAGAGCAAGGUGGACUAGCAGGUGUGCAACCUGUAUGUGUACAUAGUGCCUGUGUUACUUCUUUGUGAAUGAGAUUGAAGUUCUUUUUUCACUUGGUGGUGGGGCUGAGACCACUCAGAGUGAGAAGUUUGAGGAUCUCUAUUCAAACUAGACUUUUGAAUUUACACUUUCUAAAAUUUGUUUAAUGCAGAUCACCCCCUCUUAAAUUUCAAUUUUCUUUAAAAGCGGCUAGAGCUGAAUUUAUCAUUCAGCCAAUUCAUCAAAGUAAUAGCUACACAAAAGUCAUAUUUAUUUGCUACUUAGAUAAACUUGUCUGACAGUUUAAAACAGUCAUGUUUCAUCUAUGAUAAAGACUUCUAUUCUCAUAAUUCAUGAACACAGUCCACAGACUACAUAGACUGUAGAAUUGGAGAACACUAAGAACUUACUUAGACUGUUAAAAGCGAUUUUAAAAGCGUUUAUCAAUACUUGACCACAGCCAUCGACCGAAAUGGCUCCACUCAAACACCUCCUUCCUCUAAUAUCACUUCACAGGGUAAACAAUACUUUUAUAAGUUACCUUAUUUAGGCCAUUUUUCUACUGUAGCUCAAAACAAAAUACGUGGCCUUGUUAGUUGUUUUUGUAAUGAUCUUGACAUUGAAUUAAU
Molecule: unclassified non-coding RNA, 3482 nt
Filed under: Stylophora pistillata
Lineage: Eukaryota; Metazoa; Cnidaria; Anthozoa; Scleractinia; Pocilloporidae
Description: uncharacterized LOC111334337, transcript variant X2
Source: RNAcentral